This 147-nucleotide small RNA is filed under the name Stutzerimonas balearica DSM 6083. RNAcentral describes it as "Pseudomonas balearica DSM 6083 PrrF RNA". It matches the Rfam family "PrrF RNA". Rfam says of the family: PrrF RNA is a small RNA involved in iron homeostasis and is found exclusively in Pseudomonas species. Their expression is induced under iron limitation by the ferric uptake regulator (Fur) and they act to negatively regulate several genes including sodB and sdh. Lineage: Bacteria; Pseudomonadati; Pseudomonadota; Gammaproteobacteria; Pseudomonadales; Pseudomonadaceae. The record is from RNAcentral.
UUGACUCGCUAAUGAGAAUUGUUAUUAUUACUUCAACUGAUCGCGAGAUCAGCCGGUAACUGAAAGCCCAGGCAGUCGGACUUUCGGGUUAUCUCCUCAUCAGGCUAAUCACGGUUUUUGACCCGGCACCCGCCGGGUCUUUUUUUG